Molecule: ribosomal RNA, 253 nt
Filed under: uncultured bacterium
Lineage: Bacteria
Description: partial 16S ribosomal RNA
Rfam family: Bacterial small subunit ribosomal RNA
Source: RNAcentral
UACGUAGGGUGCGAGCGUUAAUCGGAAUUACUGGGCGUAAAGGGCGCGUAGGUGGCCUUCUAAGUUGAACGUGAAAUCCCUGGGCUCAACCCAGGAACUGCGUCCAAGACUGGGAGGCUUGAAUCCGGGAGAGGGAUGCGGAAUUCCAGGUGUAGCGGUGAAAUGCGUAGAUAUCUGGAGGAACACCGGUGGCGAAGGCGGCAUCCUGGACCAAUACUGACGCUGAGGAGCGAAAGCCAGGGGAGCAAACGGG